Helianthus annuus (common sunflower) is the source of this 970-nucleotide RNA transcript. RefSeq lists it as uncharacterized. The record is from RefSeq and is a predicted model, not a curated record. Lineage: Eukaryota; Viridiplantae; Streptophyta; Magnoliopsida; Asterales; Asteraceae. The transcript has 4 exons.
ACAAAUGAAUUAAGGUAUAAUAAUAAUAAUAAUAAUAAUAAUAAUAAUAAUAAUAAUAAUAAUAAUAAUAAUACUAAUAAUAAUGAUGAUAAAAUACUUAAUAGUUGAGAAUUGCUAUGGGUGUAUGUCCCUACGAAGAAAAAAAAAAUAUCAUAUGAUGAACUAUUAUAAUACUUUCUAAGAACUAUUAUAACACUUUCUGAACACAUUUGUAUUAGAAUUUGUAGAACCGACAAACGAAUAAAAAAAAACAAAAUAAUAAAGUUAAAUAAGGUAUACAAUAACUAAAUAAGGGAAUGGCUUAAGAAAAUUAUAGUUUAGAUUAUCAUCAUCGAUCCUUUCCAAUUUACCAAACAAAUUUUCACCGACCUUCUUCUUCUCAAAACUUGACUGGCUUAUAUUGCGGGAUUUCGUAUUCCUUUCACACGGUGGAUUAUCCCUAUUAAUCGAUCUCAUUCGGUGGUAUCAUUCCUUACUCAACGCUUCCAAAAGCCAACCCACAUCUCCCUUAAACCUUUCUUUUAAUUUUCAAGUGCGCAGACGAAAACGUCGCUGCCGACCACCAGUCUGAACCGACCAAACCUGCUUGUUACGCCUGCGGUUCGUGUGUUGAACGGUACAAAAGACCGCUGAGCACCACUACCACGUUGAUCGGUCGUUCGUUCGUUGUACACUCGGAAGCGCAAUAUCUUCGAUCCAUCACCAUACCAUCGACUAGUGGUGAUCUAAAGAUCUGUGGCGAACCUACAUUGCACCACGCCGGUCGUCUUUUCUCUUCGACAUAAGGACUCUGUUUCAAGUGAGAACUUGUUGCGUCUACAUUGUUACAUUUAAGCUAAGGUACUCAGGGAAAUCGGGGAAAUGUGUGAAGAGUGAUAAUAAAAAGCUAGAGUUGGAACAAGGAGUUUAAUAAAACCUUAUAUUCAAUAAAUUUAGACACUUAUGUUUUUCUGUUGAGACCGUUAUGCCA